UACGAAGGGGGCUAGCGUUGUUCGGAAUUACUGGGCGUAAAGCGCGCGCAGGCGGUUCUCCAAGUCAGUGGUGAAAGCCCGGAGCUCAACUCCGGAAAUGCCAUUGAAACUGUUGAACUUGAGGACGAGAGAGGUGAGUGGAAUUCCCAGUGUAGAGGUGAAAUUCGUAGAUAUUGGGAAGAACACCGGUGGCGAAGGCGGCUCCACUGGCUCGUAUCUGACGCUCAGGCGGCGAAUAGCGUGGGGAUCAAACAGG
This 256-nucleotide ribosomal RNA is filed under the name uncultured bacterium. RNAcentral's name for it is "partial 16S ribosomal RNA". It matches the Rfam family "Bacterial small subunit ribosomal RNA", at positions 524 to 776 of the family's 1533-position model. The record is from RNAcentral.